GGGAAGAGCUCAAAUUUUAAAUCUGGCAGUCUUUGGCUGUCCGAGUUGUAAUCUAGAGAAGCGUUUUCCGCUCUGGUACCGUGUACAAGUCUUCUGGAAGGGAGCGUCAUAGAGGGUGAGAAUCCCGUCUUUGACACGGACUACCAGCGCUCUGUGAUGCGCUCUCGACGAGUCGAGUUGUUUGGGAAUGCAGCUCAAAACGGGUGGUAAAUUCCAUCUAAAGCUAAAUACGGGCGAGAGACCGAUAGCGAACAAGUACCGUGAGGGAAAGAUGAAAAGAACUUUGGAAAGAGAGUUAAACAGUACGUGAAAUUGCUGAAAGGGAAACGCUUGACGUCAGUCCACGUCGGCCGGGGAUCAACCUUGCUUCUCGUUGGGUGCAUUUCCCGGUCUGAUGGGGUCAGCAUCGGUUUCGCUCGUCGUACAAUGGCAAAGGGAAUGUGGCACUUCUCGGAGUGUGUUAUAACCCUUCGUCGUAUGUGGCGGUCGAGACCGAGGAACUCGGCACGGCUUCGGUCUGUGUCCUAGGAUGCUGGCAUAAUGGCCUUAAGCGACCCGUCUUGAAACACGGACCAAGGAGUCUAACAUGCCUGCGAGUGUUUGGGUGGCAAACCCGGGCGCGCAAUGAAAGUGAAAGUCGAGAUCUCUGUCGUGGAGAGCAUCGACGCCCGGACCUGAGUCUUCGACGACGGAUCUGCGGUAGAGCAUGCAUGUUGGGACCCGAAAGAUGGUGAACUAUGCCUGAAUAGGGUGAAGCCAGAGGAAACUCUGGUGGAGGCUCGUAGCGAUUCUGACGUGCAAAUCGAUCGUCGAAUUUGGGUAUAGGGCGAAAGACUA
Molecule: ribosomal RNA, 837 nt
Filed under: Aureoboletus nephrosporus
Lineage: Eukaryota; Fungi; Basidiomycota; Agaricomycetes; Boletales; Boletaceae
Description: eukaryotic LSU rRNA
Rfam family: Eukaryotic large subunit ribosomal RNA
Source: RNAcentral